UUAGGAAUAUUCGUCAAUGGGGGAAACCCUGAACGAGCAAUGCCGCGUGAGUGAUGACGGUCUUUAUGAUUGUAAAACUCUGUUGUAAGGAAUGAAACCUUAAGAUAGGAAAUGAUCUUAAGCUGACAGUACCUUACCAGAAAGCCCCGGCUAACUACGUGCCAGCAGCCGCGGUAAUACGUAGGGGGCGAGCGUUAUCCGGAUUUAUUGGGCGUAAAGUGUGCGUAGGCGGUUUAUUAAGUCUAAGAUUAAAGCCCGAGGCUCAACCUCGGUUCGUUUUAGAAACUGGUAGACUUGAGUGUGGUAGAGGCAAGUGGAAUUUCUAGUGUAGCGGUUAAAUGCGUAGAUAUUAGAAGGAACACCAGUGGCGAAGGCGGCUUGCUGGGCCAUUACUGACGCUGAGGCACGAAAGCGUGGGGAGCAAAUAGG
Molecule: ribosomal RNA, 429 nt
Filed under: uncultured prokaryote
Also listed under: 1 other name
Description: bacterial SSU rRNA
Rfam family: Bacterial small subunit ribosomal RNA
Source: RNAcentral